Lutra lutra (Eurasian river otter) is the source of this 722-nucleotide long non-coding RNA. RefSeq lists it as uncharacterized. The transcript is spliced from 3 exons. NCBI's taxonomy places the organism in Eukaryota, Metazoa, Chordata, Mammalia, Carnivora, Mustelidae. The record is from RefSeq and is a predicted model, not a curated record.
UUUUUUCAGCUCACUAAAAAAAGCCAAGUUCAUAGGUGGAAUUGACAUCGUUAUUUUGUGUCUAAUUUAGUAAUCAAAUGAAUUUAAGUGAUGAAACUGGUGGAGAUAAGCAUUGUUAAAAAAAAAACAGACAUGUGAUCUUAGCCUUAAGAUCUAAGCCUUAAGUGUGCAAGUCAGCUUUUUCUAAAGUUUUUCUAAAUCAUUAAUGUACUUUUUUUUUUUUUUGACAUACACAAAAUUGAAACUAUUCUCAAUGGCCAGAGAGGAAAUCCCUGACAAGAAUGAUCAUAUUGUUGACUGGAUAGUGUGUGUGUGUGUGUGUGUGUGUUUUCUACAAAUGUCCAGAGACAGAGGAAAUAGAAGGAAGACAUGGUGGUGUGCUGUGUUGAGGGAGGGGAAGCAGCUGACUCAGGAUGCAAAAUAAUGAGACAACAUGUACAUCAUCAUCUCCAGGAUUACCGGCAAAGGUCCAGAUGGUGGCUGCUUCAUCAGCCUGGUCAACAGCCCGGCAGAGGAGUGCUCCCCACCGAACCUACGUGAGCAAGCAAGAAACCAACCUUAUCUCACGCUCCUGAGAAUCCGGGUUGUCUGUUACGGUGCCAGAGCCCAGCGCAUCCCAACUAGCACAGAGGUGCUGCGUGCGAGAAGAGAAACCUGAGGAGAGGGGAUUCUGUGAACUCAUGCAGUUCGCCCAAAGAGAGAGACGGUCACUUACUUUUUCU